Molecule: ribosomal RNA, 468 nt
Filed under: uncultured bacterium
Lineage: Bacteria
Description: partial 16S ribosomal RNA
Rfam family: Bacterial small subunit ribosomal RNA
Source: RNAcentral
GACGAACGCUGGCGGCGUGCUUAACACAUGCAAGUCGAACGGAAAGGCGCUGAUUUUGUGGGGUGCUCGAGUGGCGAACGGGUGAGUAACACGUGAGUAACCUGCCCUUGACUUUGGGAUAACUUCAGGAAACUGGGGCUAAUACCGGAUAGGAGCUCCUGCUGCAUGUUGGGGGUUGGAAAGUUUCGGCGGUUGGGGAUGGACUCGAGGCUUAUGAGCUUGUUGGUGGGGUAGUGGCUUACCAAGGCUUUGACGGGUAGCCGGCCUGAGAGGGUGACCGGCCUCAUGGGGACUGAGAGACGGAGCAGAAUGCUACGGGAGGCAGCAGUGGAGAAUAUUGCACAAUGGGCGGAAGCCUGAUGCAGCAACGCCGCGAGCGGGAUAACGGCCUUCGGGUUGUAAACCGCUGUCGCCUGUGACGAAGCGUGAGUGACGGUAAUGGGUAAAGAAGCACCGGCUAACUACGUG